UACAGGGGGGGCAAGUGUUGUUCGGAAUUACUGGGCGUAAAGGGCCAGUAGGCGGCCAACUAAGUCCGACGUGAAAUCCCUAGGCUUAACCUAGGAACUGCGUCGGAUACUGGAUGGCUUGAAUUCGGGAGAGGGAUGCAGAAUUCCAGGUGUAGCGGUGAAAUGCGUAGAUAUCUGGAGGAAUACCGGUGGCGAAGGCGGGCAUCCGUCGGACCG
This 216-nucleotide ribosomal RNA is filed under the name uncultured bacterium. RNAcentral's name for it is "partial 16S ribosomal RNA". It matches the Rfam family "Bacterial small subunit ribosomal RNA", at positions 524 to 739 of the family's 1533-position model. The record is from RNAcentral.